AUGCCAUGGUGUGGACAUGCUUGAAUGUACUCCUAGAGACGUUUCCAGAUUUCCGGGAUACUCUCUUCCGGCAAUUGUUGAAUUCCGGUGAUCCUAUUUCGGAGGGC
Small nucleolar RNA from Panicum virgatum (switchgrass), 107 nucleotides. The record is from RefSeq and is a predicted model, not a curated record. NCBI's taxonomy places the organism in Eukaryota, Viridiplantae, Streptophyta, Magnoliopsida, Poales, Poaceae.